RNAcentral lists this ribosomal RNA (253 nucleotides) under uncultured bacterium. RNAcentral's name for it is "partial 16S ribosomal RNA". It matches the Rfam family "Bacterial small subunit ribosomal RNA", at positions 524 to 776 of the family's 1533-position model. The record is from RNAcentral.
GACAGAGGGUGCAAACGUUGUUCGGAAUUACUGGGCGUAAAGCGCACGUAGUCGGCUUUGCAAGUCGGGUGUGAAAUCCCCGGGCUCAACCUGGGAACUGCAUCCGAGACUGCAUUGCUAGAGUAUGGGAGAGGGAAGCGGAAUUUCUGGUGUAGCAGUGAAAUGCGUAGAUAUCAGAAGGAACAUCAGUGGCGAAGGCGGCUUCCUGGACCAAUACUGACGAUCAGGUGCGAAAGCGUGGGGAGCAAACAGG